CCCUUAGAUGUUCGGGGCCGCACGCGCGCUACACUGAAGGAAUCAGCACGUCUUUCUCCUUGUCCGAAAGGACUGGGUAACCCGCUGAACCUCCUUCGUGCUAGGGGUUGGGGCUUGUAAUUCUUCCCCAUGAACGAGGAAUUCCCAGUAAGCGCGAGUCAUAAGCUCGCGUUGAUUACGUCCCUGCCCUUUGUACACACCGCCCGUCGCUACUACCGAUUGGAUGGUUUAGUGAGAUCCUCGGAUUGGUCCCGGAGCGGCCUCUGGUCGUGCCGGAGUGCCGAAAAGAAUGUCGAACUUGAUCAUCUAGAGGAAGUAAAAGUCGUAACA
This 330-nucleotide ribosomal RNA is filed under the name uncultured eukaryote. RNAcentral describes it as "partial 18S ribosomal RNA". It matches the Rfam family "Eukaryotic small subunit ribosomal RNA", at positions 1470 to 1796 of the family's 1831-position model. The record is from RNAcentral.